Molecule: transfer RNA, 72 nt
Filed under: Marmota marmota marmota (Alpine marmot)
Lineage: Eukaryota; Metazoa; Chordata; Mammalia; Rodentia; Sciuridae
Also listed under: 1 other name
Rfam family: tRNA
About the family: Transfer RNA (tRNA) molecules are approximately 80 nucleotides in length. Their secondary structure includes four short double-helical elements and three loops (D, anti-codon, and T loops). Further hydrogen bonds mediate the characteristic L-shaped molecular structure. tRNAs have two regions of fundamental functional importance: the anti-codon, which is responsible for specific mRNA codon recognition, and the 3' end, to which the tRNAs corresponding amino acid is attached (by aminoacyl-tRNA synthetases). tRNAs cope with the degeneracy of the genetic code in two manners: having more than one tRNA (with a specific anti-codon) for a particular amino acid; and 'wobble' base-pairing, i.e. permitting non-standard base-pairing at the 3rd anti-codon position.
Source: Rfam by way of RNAcentral
GGAGUUGUGGCUCAGCCACAGAGUGCUCACCUAGCACGUGUGAGGCUCUGGGUUCAAUCCUCAGCACUUUUA